This 429-nucleotide ribosomal RNA is filed under the name Pseudomonadota bacterium. Its description in RNAcentral is "Proteobacteria bacterium partial 16S ribosomal RNA". It matches the Rfam family "Bacterial small subunit ribosomal RNA", at positions 355 to 776 of the family's 1533-position model. The record is from RNAcentral. Lineage: Bacteria; Pseudomonadati; Pseudomonadota.
UGGGGAAUAUUGGACAAUGGGCGAAAGCCUGAUCCAGCCAUGCCGCGUGUGUGAAGAAGGUCUUCGGAUUGUAAAGCACUUUAAGUUGGGAGGAAGGGCAGUAAGCGAAUACCUUGCUGUUUUGACGUUACCGACAGAAUAAGCACCGGCUAACUCUGUGCCAGCAGCCGCGGUAAUACAGAGGGUGCAAGCGUUAAUCGGAAUUACUGGGCGUAAAGCGCGCGUAGGUGGUUCGUUAAGUUGAAUGUGAAAGCCCCGGGCUCAACCUGGGAACUGCAUCCAAAACUGGCGGGCUAGAGUAGGGCAGAGGGUGGUGGAAUUUCCUGUGUAGCGGAGAAAUGCGUAGGUAUAGGAAGGAACACCAGUGGCGAAGGCGACCACCUGGGCUCAUACUGACACUGAGGUGCGAAAGCGUGGGGAGCAAACAGG